ACACUUUUUUAUCUUUUUUAACACUUUAAGACACAAUCCGCUGGAGGGACACUUUCCUUGAAUCUGAGAGCUGUUUUGGACAGAAAUGCCCUUGCUCAGAAGAAACGGAAGAUGCGCUUAUGUUUGGAUCUAAUCGAGCUUUCACCCAUGGUGAUACCAAGCUCAAACCACUGCAGCUUCACCUAUAUAAUGGAUGAGACUUCGGAAAUGAGUUGAGCAAGGCGAGGAGUCAACUUGAGCAGCAGAUCUCGUGGUGGCGGAGGAUUUCGACGAGCUCGAACCCCCAUGGCUUCACUGAGCCACCGAGCUCACCGAUGCGAUGUUGAGCUCGAAAUCCAUGUUGAGGCGUUUUCUCUUUCUUUUUUUUAUCCGUGGAUUCUGUCAUGAUUCGUAAUAAAAAGAUAGAAAAACAGACAAAAAAUAGAGAUAUACAAAGGAAUAAAAAAAAGUUGAGAAGAAGGAAACAAGCCAAGAGGAUUAAGAAUUAAUUGUUUCUUCGAUUUGAUGAAGGAGAGUGUAUCGUGAUUAUUGGAUUUGAGUAUGCGUUAUGAAAAUAAAUAAAAAGAAAAAUAGAGUUUAAUAAAAGUGAAUCUGAACUUGAAUUUUGAAAUUCUAAAAUAAAUAAAUUUUUGAAUGAUUUAAUAAAAAGACUUUUGGAUUUAGUUAGAGUUGUUAGUUAAUAUCUUUCUAGUUAUUGUUAGAUAAGGUUGAGGGCAUCUAAGACAUUGCACAUAGAAAUUGUGUGCCUCAAGCAACAAGUGUCUAAAUAUGCAAUUCCAAAGACAUAAUGUGUCCUAGAAUGUAAAAAAAUC
Molecule: long non-coding RNA, 812 nt
Organism: Brassica rapa (field mustard)
Lineage: Eukaryota; Viridiplantae; Streptophyta; Magnoliopsida; Brassicales; Brassicaceae
Source: RefSeq, a predicted model, not a curated record